GCCGCCUUCCCCGCCGCGCGCCCGGAUGUGAGGUGGCUGCAGCGGUGCCGGGCGAAAAAGAAGCAUCGCCGCGCGCUUCCCGGACGCCAGCCCCUGCGCGGGCCGGGGGGUGGGAAGGUGGUGGCGGCGAGGAGGAGGCCACGGUGGGGAUAGCGGAAACCCGCUCCCGUGCGCGCAGGCGGUCGCCGUGGGCAGCCCAGAGGCCACCGCCGCCGCGUUCCCACGCGCGCUGCAGGGCAGAGCGGACGGCACUUGGGACCCGCGACUCGCGGCACGCCACUCUCCCGGAGGCGGUGGCUAGAUGGGGCUGGGCUGGCGGCUAGCACGGCCUGUGGCGCGACGACCGCUGUAUUUGCAUGGUUCGCAUAGGCAGAGAACCGUGGGGCUUCGGCAGUGGGAAUUUGAGAUAGGAGAUUGGGGUCUUCCGAGCCUUCCCAGUGCGGGUUCGAACCUCAGCUGUUUUGCGAGUGGCGUGAUCUUAGGCAAAGCUGACUUAACCUAAGUUUCGGUCGUGUUUCUAAAAUGGCCUCUGUAAAUCUAUGAGGCUUAUGCGCGAGUACUGGUUGCUGCAUUAAAAGACAAACUUGUCACGAUUGGCUUUGAUAGCGAUAAAGGCGACUAACAAAUUCAUUGAAAUGUUGUUUCCCUCCGGUAACCUGAAUCUGUCCUUAGCCUGCACAGAAAGGGGAAGUGCGAGUGGAGUUGGGGAAAUGAGACGGCGAAUGUCAAGUGCUUACCACGUAGUGCAGACUCAGGCUGACAGGGGGCCACAGAAAUGCAAAUAUGUGAGCAGUGUGGGUAACUGCAUCCUGGGGAGGAAGUCCUAUGUGCUGGAAUACCACAAGCACCCAUUUCUGCCCUGUGGUACUGCGCAGCGUUGGUGUGAAGCGAUACAUAGGCGUGAAGUCCCGAGAACGCAAUUUUCCUGGUUAAAGGACAGCAACGUCUACAUUUCUUCCAAGAGGCCUACUUUGUUGGAACUUCACUUCACUUGUGAAAUUAGGGUGUUGGGCAGUGAGUGACCACUAACUCAGCUCCCUUCUUGUGAAUCUUGGCAACAGAAAACUUUUCGUUUGUAUUACUGAAUAAAGUGUGUUUCUUACAAACUGUUUUUUUACAGGCAAGAGGCAGAGGGAAACACUUGCACAUCAGGCCUGAGUUUGCAUUCUCAUCUCUGCCACCUCCUACAAGCUAUGGAGAGUUAGUCUAUUGAUUCUUAGUUUUACCUGUGAAAUUGCGAAGAUGAUAUAACCUGCUCAUGGGGCAGUUAAGAUUAAACAGGAUAAGGUGGGUAAAAAACCAUAUAUAACCCAUAAAGCUGCUGAGCCUUUUUAAGCCUAUACAGAGACACGUUGCAGGUGAUAAUACAGAUGUUAUUAUUUUAACAAUCAAGCUGUUUUUGGAAUCCAAAUUCUUCCUAAAGCUGUGGGAAACAGGUCUAAUCCCCUUUAGUGUCUUGGAGACUCCCUGGAGUAGUGGAGAAGGCCCGUUCUUUGAAGCUGCUAAAUCCUGACCCUGCCAAUUAGUGUGAAACCUGAGCCAGGCAUUUCACCACCUGGAUCUCCCUUUCCUCAUUUUUCCGAAAGGGAUCGCAGUAUACCUACUUUUUAGGCUUGCAGAGGGAAUUAAAGAUAACAUUAAAAACA
Molecule: long non-coding RNA, 1646 nt
Filed under: Homo sapiens (human)
Lineage: Eukaryota; Metazoa; Chordata; Mammalia; Primates; Hominidae
Description: non-protein coding lnc-LIMK2-5:2
Source: RNAcentral